RNAcentral lists this ribosomal RNA (377 nucleotides) under uncultured bacterium. RNAcentral's name for it is "bacterial SSU rRNA". It matches the Rfam family "Bacterial small subunit ribosomal RNA", at positions 523 to 898 of the family's 1533-position model. The record is from RNAcentral.
AUACGUAGGUGGCGAGCGUUGUCCGGAAUUACUGGGUGUAAAGGGCGUGUAGGCGGGGAUGUAAGUCAGAUGUGAAAUUCCGGGGCUCAACCCCGGCGCUGCAUCUGAAACUAUGUCUCUUGAGUGCUGGAGAGGAAAGCGGAAUUCCUAGUGUAGCGGUGAAAUGCGUAGAUAUUAGGAGGAACACCAGUGGCGAAGGCGGCUUUCUGGACAGUAACUGACGCUGAGGCGCGAAAGCGUGGGGAGCAAACAGGAUUAGAUACCCUGGUAGUCCACGCCGUAAACGAUGGAUACUAGGUGUAGGAGGUAUCGACCCCUUCUGUGCCGGAGUUAACACAAUAAGUAUCCCACCUGGGGAGUACGGCCGCAAGGUUGAA